AUGGUUCUUUAUAACAUAUACGAUGACUGGUUGAAAAGUAUCUCGUCCUACACUGCAUUCUCUCAUCUUGUGCUUAUACUACGAGCAUUACAUGUUAAUAAUGAGAAGGCCAAGAUGUUGCUGAAGCCUGACAAGACAAUGAAUAUCAUUCUUUCAGAUUAUGCAAAGAAAAACAAUGUUAAUACUGCUCCACCGUCACAGCAGAGGCAACAGAUAGCGGAGAUUGAGAAACAGGAUUUGACAUCACAUGCUAAAAUUUUGGAGAGAAGAACAAACAGUGGGAUGGUGACAAGUGCAUCAUUUUGA
RNAcentral lists this ribosomal RNA (306 nucleotides) under Triticum aestivum (bread wheat). RNAcentral describes it as "partial small subunit ribosomal RNA". The record is from RNAcentral. Lineage: Eukaryota; Viridiplantae; Streptophyta; Magnoliopsida; Poales; Poaceae.